AGUGAACGCUGGCGGCAGGCCUAAUACAUGCAAGUCGAACGGCAGCACAGCAGAGCUUGCUCUGUGGGUGGCGAGUGGCGGACGGGUGAGGAAUACAUGGGAAUCUGCCCAGUCGUGGGGAUAACGUAGGGAAACUUACGCUAAUACCGCAUGCGCCCUUCGGGGGAAAGCCGGGGACCUUCGGGCCUGGCGCGAUUGGAUGAGCCCAUGUCGGAUUAGCUAGUUGGCGGGUAAUGGCCCACCAAGGCGACGAUCCGUAGCUGGUCUGAGAGGAUGAUCAGCCACACUGGAACUGAGACACGGUCCAGACUCCUACGGGAGGCAGCAGUAGGGAAUAUUGGACAAUGGGCGCAAGCCUGAUCCAGCCAUGCCGCGUGAGUGAAGAAGGCCCUCGGGUUGUAAAGCUCUUUUGUCCGGUAAAGAAAAGACGCCGGGUUAAUACCCUGGUGUCCUGACGGUACCGGAAGAAUAAGCACCGGCUAACGUUCGUGCCAGCAGCCGCGGUAA
RNAcentral lists this ribosomal RNA (507 nucleotides) under uncultured bacterium. RNAcentral describes it as "bacterial SSU rRNA". It matches the Rfam family "Bacterial small subunit ribosomal RNA", at positions 29 to 523 of the family's 1533-position model. The record is from RNAcentral.